UACGUAGGGGGCAAGCGUUGUCCGGAUUCAUUGGGCGUAAAGAGCGUGUAGGCGGCCAGGUAGGUCGGUUGUGAAAACUGGAGGCUCAACCUUCAGAGGUCGACCGAAACCAUCUGACUAGAGUCCGGGAGAGGAGAGUGGAAUUCCUGGUGUAGCGGUGAAAUGCGCAGAUAUCAGGAGGAACACCGGUGGUGUAGACGGCUCUCUGGACCGUAACUGACGCUGAGGCACGAAAGCGUGGGUAGCAAACAGG
This 253-nucleotide ribosomal RNA is filed under the name uncultured bacterium. RNAcentral describes it as "partial 16S ribosomal RNA". It matches the Rfam family "Bacterial small subunit ribosomal RNA", at positions 524 to 776 of the family's 1533-position model. The record is from RNAcentral.